AACGCACCUUGCGCUCCUUGGUAUUCCGAGGAGCAUGCCUGUUUGAGUGUCUUGAAGUCAUCAACCCCUUCCGUUUCGUGCGGACUGGGUUGGAGCUGGGGGCUCUGCUGCCGUGAGGUGGCUCCCCUCAAAUGCAUCGGUUGGGCCUGUGGGUCGAACUCGACUGGGCGUUGUACCAUCCUCGCUCGACAGAGACGUUCCCCUUCUGUUGCCCUCCCACGACCUGCCCAUCAGGAGAGGCGGUCAAGCUAUACUUUGAAAUCUGACCUCAAAUCAGGUAGGACUACCCGCUGAACUUAA
This 300-nucleotide unclassified non-coding RNA is filed under the name uncultured fungus. RNAcentral's name for it is "partial contains 5.8S ribosomal RNA, internal transcribed spacer 2, and large subunit ribosomal RNA". The stretch from base 1 to 52 matches the Rfam family "5.8S ribosomal RNA", at positions 103 to 154 of the family's 154-position model. Lineage: Eukaryota; Fungi. The record is from RNAcentral.